This 1391-nucleotide ribosomal RNA is filed under the name Actinomycetes bacterium. RNAcentral's name for it is "bacterial SSU rRNA". It matches the Rfam family "Bacterial small subunit ribosomal RNA". The record is from RNAcentral. Lineage: Bacteria; Bacillati; Actinomycetota; Actinomycetes.
CAUGCAGUCGAACGGUGAAGCCAAGCUUGCUUGGUGGAUCAGUGGCGAACGGGUGAGUAACACGUGAGCAACCUGCCCUGGACUCUGGGAUAAGCGCUGGAAACGGCGUCUAAUACUGGAUAUGAGCUCUCAUCGCAUGGUGGGGGUUGGAAAGAUUUUUCGGUCUGGGAUGGGCUCGCGGCCUAUCAGCUUGUUGGUGAGGUAAUGGCUCACCAAGGCGUCGACGGGUAGCCGGCCUGAGAGGGUGACCGGCCACACUGGGACUGAGACACGGCCCAGACUCCUACGGGAGGCAGCAGUGGGGAAUAUUGCACAAUGGGCGGAAGCCUGAUGCAGCAACGCCGCGUGAGGGAUGACGGCCUUCGGGUUGUAAACCUCUUUUAGCAGGGAAGAAGCGAGAGUGACGGUACCUGCAGAAAAAGCGCCGGCUAACUACGUGCCAGCAGCCGCGGUAAUACGUAGGGCGCAAGCGUUAUCCGGAAUUAUUGGGCGUAAAGAGCUCGUAGGCGGUUUGUCGCGUCUGCUGUGAAAUCCCGAGGCUCAACCUCGGGCCUGCAGUGGGUACGGGCAGACUAGAGUGCGGUAGGGGAGAUUGGAAUUCCUGGUGUAGCGGUGGAAUGCGCAGAUAUCAGGAGGAACACCGAUGGCGAAGGCAGAUCUCUGGGCCGUAACUGACGCUGAGGAGCGAAAGGGUGGGGAGCAAACAGGCUUAGAUACCCUGGUAGUCCACCCCGUAAACGUUGGGAACUAGUUGUGGGGACCAUUCCACGGUUUCCGUGACGCAGCUAACGCAUUAAGUUCCCCGCCUGGGGAGUACGGCCGCAAGGCUAAAACUCAAAGGAAUUGACGGGGACCCGCACAAGCGGCGGAGCAUGCGGAUUAAUUCGAUGCAACGCGAAGAACCUUACCAAGGCUUGACAUACACCAGAACACCGUAGAAAUACGGGACUCUUUGGACACUGGUGAACAGGUGGUGCAUGGUUGUCGUCAGCUCGUGUCGUGAGAUGUUGGGUUAAGUCCCGCAACGAGCGCAACCCUCGUUCUAUGUUGCCAGCACGUAAUGGUGGGAACUCAUGGGAUACUGCCGGGGUCAACUCGGAGGAAGGUGGGGAUGACGUCAAAUCAUCAUGCCCCUUAUGUCUUGGGCUUCACGCAUGCUACAAUGGCCGGUACAAAGGGCUGCAAUACCGUGAGGUGGAGCGAAUCCCAAAAAGCCGGUCCCAGUUCGGAUUGAGGUCUGCAACUCGACCUCAUGAAGUCGGAGUCGCUAGUAAUCGCAGAUCAGCAACGCUGCGGUGAAUACGUUCCCGGGUCUUGUACACACCGCCCGUCAAGUCAUGAAAGUCGGUAACACCUGAAGCCGGUGGCCCAACCCUUGUGGAGGGAGCCGU